Molecule: ribosomal RNA, 494 nt
Filed under: uncultured bacterium
Lineage: Bacteria
Description: bacterial SSU rRNA
Rfam family: Bacterial small subunit ribosomal RNA
Source: RNAcentral
UUAUGGCUCAGGAUGAACGCUGGCGGCGUGCUUAACACAUGCAAGUCGAACGAAGCAACUAUCUUGCUUGACAAGAAAGUUGACUUAGUGGCGGACGGGUGAGUAACGCGUGGGUAACCUGCCUCAGUACAGGGGGAUAACAGUUGGAAACGACUGCUAAGACCGCAUAACCCGCUAGUGUCGCAUGACACGGACGGAAAAUAUUUAUAGGUAUGAGAUGGGCCCGCGUCUGAUUAGCUAGUUGGUAAGGUAACGGCUUACCAAGGCGACGAUCAGUAGCCGACUUGAGAGAGUGAUCGGCCACAUUGGGACUGAGACACGGCCCAAACUCCUACGGGAGGCAGCAGUGGGGAAUAUUGGACAAUGGGGGAAACCCUGAUCCAGCCGACGCCGCGUGAGUGAAGAAGUAUUUCGGUAUGUAAAGCUCUAUCAGCAGGGAAGAUAAUGACAGUACCUGACUAAGAAGCCCCGGCUAACUACGUGCCAGCCGCCGC